Molecule: long non-coding RNA, 427 nt
Organism: Arachis stenosperma
Lineage: Eukaryota; Viridiplantae; Streptophyta; Magnoliopsida; Fabales; Fabaceae
Exons: 2
Source: RefSeq, a predicted model, not a curated record
CAGAUAACUAGCGUCCCCUUUACGCCACCCCCACAUCCCCCCGCAGCCAAAACUCUGCCUAACAGCGCCUCCCAGCCCCUCCCAACAGCCCCUCUCAGCCCCGUCGAACCGGCGUCUCCCAACCCCUACCAUAUCCACCGAACUAGCGCCUCCCAGUCAGUUUAUUCACAACUUCGUCACUUCCUGCUUCUGGCCUGCCUCUAUUCCACCGUUGUCACAGAUUUUAAUAUAUGUUUCGAUUUUUUAUUGAUGAAAUUGUGAUGAUUUGAAUUCUGUUAAUGUGAAAUUAGGAUUAGGUUUAGAGUUUGAAUUCUGUAAUUGAUAAAUUUAGAUUGAGUUACAUUUCCUCUAAAAUUGAGGUUAGGGUUUGUGAAACUGGGACAUUUUAGGGUUUGGUUUUUGUUAAAUGUAAAUUAUUUUUUUUAUA